AGGACGAACGCUGGCGGCGUGCUUAACACAUGCAAGUGGAGCGACGAACCAGGCUUCGGCCUGGGGCAAAGCCGCGAACGGGUGAGUAACACGUGGGUAACGUGCCCCGAUGACCGGGACAACCCGAGGAAACUCGGGCUAAUACCGGAUGUGCUGCACAGACGUAAGCCUGUGCAACAAAGGAAGCUUCGGCCUCCGCAUCGGGAGCGGCCCGCGGCCCAUUAGCUUGUUGGUGAGGUAACGGUUCACCAAGGCUGCGAUGGGUAGCUGGUCUGAGAGGACGAUCAGCCACACUGGGACUGAGACACGGCCCAGACUCCGUACGGGAGGCAGCAGUGGGGAAUCUUGCGCAAUGGCGACGAAAGCGUGACGCAGCAACGCCGGACGUGGGGGAACGACGGGCCUUCGGGUUACGUAACCGUCGUUUCGAGGAGGGACGAAGGUACGAGGCGACGAAGUA
RNAcentral lists this ribosomal RNA (460 nucleotides) under uncultured soil bacterium. RNAcentral describes it as "bacterial SSU rRNA". It matches the Rfam family "Bacterial small subunit ribosomal RNA", at positions 26 to 468 of the family's 1533-position model. The record is from RNAcentral.